This 74-nucleotide transfer RNA is filed under the name Oreochromis niloticus (Nile tilapia). It matches the Rfam family "tRNA". From Rfam's summary of the family: Transfer RNA (tRNA) molecules are approximately 80 nucleotides in length. Their secondary structure includes four short double-helical elements and three loops (D, anti-codon, and T loops). The record is from Rfam by way of RNAcentral. Lineage: Eukaryota; Metazoa; Chordata; Actinopteri; Cichliformes; Cichlidae. RNAcentral also lists the same sequence under 1 other name.
GGCCUGUUAGCUCAGUGGGAUAGAGCGUGGUGCUAGUAAUGUCAAUGUUAUGGGUUCAGUCCCUAUACAGACCA